This is a non-coding RNA of Brassica rapa (field mustard), 136 nucleotides long. Lineage: Eukaryota; Viridiplantae; Streptophyta; Magnoliopsida; Brassicales; Brassicaceae. The record is from Rfam.
GAGAAAGAGAAUUGUCUGAAUAGCCAAAGAGACUGCCUAACGACUAGCCAACUCAGAGACUGUUGAUCAAGUCUCUGAUAUAUAUGGUUCAAGACGCAGGCAAGUCAUCCUUGGCUACCACACAACUUCUCAUUCU